RNAcentral lists this ribosomal RNA (256 nucleotides) under Streptomyces sp. ISO685_OTU396. RNAcentral describes it as "partial 16S ribosomal RNA". It matches the Rfam family "Bacterial small subunit ribosomal RNA", at positions 29 to 289 of the family's 1533-position model. Lineage: Bacteria; Bacillati; Actinomycetota; Actinomycetes; Kitasatosporales; Streptomycetaceae. The record is from RNAcentral.
ACGAACGCUGGCGGCGUGCUUAACACAUGCAAGUCGAACGAUGAAGCCNUUCGGGGUGGAUUAGUGGCGAACGGGUGAGUAACACGUGGGCAAUCUGCCCUUCACUCUGGGACAAGCCCUGGAAACGGGGUCUAAUACCGGAUAACACUCCUGCCUGCAUGGGUGGGGGUUAAAAGCUCCGGCGGUGAAGGAUGAGCCCGCGGCCUAUCAGCUUGUUGGUGAGGUAGUGGCUCACCAAGGCGACGACGGGUAGCCG